Pogoniulus pusillus (Red-fronted tinkerbird) is the source of this 252-nucleotide long non-coding RNA. RefSeq lists it as uncharacterized. NCBI's taxonomy places the organism in Eukaryota, Metazoa, Chordata, Aves, Piciformes, Lybiidae. The record is from RefSeq and is a predicted model, not a curated record. The transcript has 2 exons.
ACUGGGCAGAGGGAUCCUCCUCCUCUCAUCAACGAUGGAGGGAAAUAUCGCUGGUUACCCUCUCCCAGACUGCAAGGAGAAAUGAGGCAACAGCUCUGUACUCAGAAAAAGCAAAGACAACAAUGAGUGAAGCAAGAAGAUUUCCCUCCCCGCCGCUCGUGUUCUGGAUCCCGGUGCAGGGGUAUGUGAUAAAGCUGCUUUGCUUUUCUAGUAAAUGCCAGCCCUUCAUGACUAACUGGCUGGCUUCUUGGU